RNAcentral lists this long non-coding RNA (551 nucleotides) under Malus domestica (apple). Its description in RNAcentral is "long non-coding RNA (MDOM_LNC009407)". The record is from RNAcentral. Lineage: Eukaryota; Viridiplantae; Streptophyta; Magnoliopsida; Rosales; Rosaceae.
AUGAUGUUGGCUCCAUUGCACUUAGUUAAGUCAUUCCCACCAUGCUUAGUUUGUGAAGGGGUUCAAGAAUAGCCUCACAAUGAUAUGAUGUUGGCCAUCCUCGUUGCCUACACUCACCUCAUCAAGUAUGUAUAUAGACUCCUCCUGAGUGUAAGCACGCACUUUGUACUCCCCCAUGAUAGGGUGAAGCCGGUGUACGAGUCACAAACGAUCGGAGCUACCACGGUGGAAGGCCACGAAAGAGUGUUCAAAGCACUCUCACGCUUAUCAACUUAAUAAUGGUUUGGUUGAGGGUUUUAGGUCUCAUCACAUAUAAACAUACAUUUUAAUCUCUAUUAAAACAAUUUUGGUCCUAUUACAACUAUUGGUCCAUAUGAUUGUUUUUAGUUGUUGUAUAUAAUAUUCCCACUAUGCUUAUAAAACGGUUUUUAAAGCAAGAGUAUAUGAUACUACUAACAUAAACUUUUGCAUUCAUUUGAUAGACUAUAUAGUUGCCUUAGGGCCUUAGGAUGACUAUGAACCUUUGUUUAGAUUCAACACGAGCCUUGUGU